RNA transcript from Cucumis melo (muskmelon), 3381 nucleotides. It is a transcript of the gene named phosphoinositide phosphatase SAC2, with no coding region annotated. NCBI's taxonomy places the organism in Eukaryota, Viridiplantae, Streptophyta, Magnoliopsida, Cucurbitales, Cucurbitaceae. The record is from RefSeq and is a predicted model, not a curated record. The transcript has 18 exons.
CUUAAUUUGUGUGGAUACAGUCUUCGAAGCUGUUUUCUGCCAUUUUUCUGCUGCAGCCCUUUCUUCUUCAUCCUUUCUUCUUCUCCUCUUCCUCCUCCAUAGGAGUACGAUCUGACUGAUUCCAUCUCUAUUUCUUCAAAAAAGCUGCUCAUCCUCGUCCUUUCAACUACCGCGAGGGAGUUUUUUCGGUGUUGGAAUUUGAGUUUUGGGUAGUUGAUAUAGUUUGGUUUUUUGGUGGUGAACCCGGGCCUUGAGGCUCGGAGAUCGAAAACUAUGGGUGCGGAGACUGAGCAGCAAAGCUGGAUUCAUGAUAAACCUGAUCCCAAUUUUCACUGCUUGCAGAAAUUCAGGCUAUAUGAGACGCGUUCGAAUUUUUAUCUGAUUGGAAGAGAUAAGAACCGAACGUUUUGGAAAGUGUUAAAGAUCAGCAGAUUGGAACCAAGUGAUCUGAACAUUCUUGAAGAUUCUACCACAUAUACGGAUAAUGAGUGCUUUGACCUGCUGAAGCGGAUACACGAAGGAAACAAGUUAACGGGUGGGCUUAAAUUUGUGACCACUUGUUAUGGAAUUGUUGGUAUCAUCAAGUUUUUAGGACCGCAUUACAUGAUAUUGAUAACAAAGCGAAGAAAGAUUGGAACCAUCUGCGGCCAUGCAGUUUAUUCAAUUACAAAGAGCGAAAUGAUUCCAAUUCCAAAUUCUACUGCCCGGUCCAAUUUGGCUAUUUCUAAGGAUGAAAACAGAUACAAGAAGCUCUUACGCACAGUGGAUCUUAGGAAAGACUUCUUUUUCAGCUACUCAUACAAUGUCAUGCGUUGCCUUCAAAAGAACAUUUGUGAUAAUAAGACAGGACAUUUACUUUACGAUACAAUGUUUGUCUGGAAUGAGUUUUUGACCCGUGGAAUCCGGAACAUUCUCAAGAAUACCAUCUGGACUGUUGCCUUAGUGUAUGGUUUCUUUAAACAGGUUGAUCUUUCUAUUUCUGGUAGAGAUUUCAAGUUGACACUCAUUGCUAGACGAUCACGUCAUUAUGCUGGUACAAGAUUUCUAAAAAGAGGUGUUAACGAGAAGGGAAGAGUAGCUAAUGAUGUUGAGACAGAACAGAUUGUUUUCGAAAAUGCUUCCGAUGGACGACCGACUCAAAUAAGUUCAGUGGUGCAAAAUCGAGGAUCGAUCCCCCUAUUUUGGUCCCAGGAAACCUCACGGCUGAAUAUUAGGCCCGAUAUCAUAUUGUCAAAGAAGGACCAAAAUUAUGAAGCCACAAGACUACACUUUGAGAAUCUUGUUUUGAGAUAUGGGAAUCCUAUAAUUAUAUUGAACUUGAUUAAGACGCGCGAGAAGAAGCCACGAGAAAGUGUCCUCCGUGCUGAGUUUGCAAAUGCUAUAAGAUUCAUAAACAAAAGUUUAUCUGCAGAGAACCGCCUAAGAUUUCUUCACUGGGAUUUGAACAAACAUGCGAAAAGCAAAGCUUCCAACGUUUUGAUGCAGCUUGGAAGGGUUGCUACAUACGCGUUGAACUUAACUGGAAUCUUCUACUGUCAAAUAGCCUCCAAUUUAAGCUCGGAGGAGUUGUUAAGUUGGACCUACUUUAAGAAAAAUCAAGGUACCGAUUCUUCCGUGGAGAAUCUAUCAACAGAAGAAGAAAAUGAAGAAAAUCCAGAAAAAGAUGUUAGUAAUAGGGUGUAUGCUAAUGGCAUACUUGAAAAUCAUCCAGUUGCAAUGUUUCAAAAUGGUGUUCUAAGGACCAAUUGUAUAGACUGUUUAGACCGGACAAAUGUCGCCCAAUAUGCUUAUGGGCUAGUUGCUUUAGGACGUCAAUUACAUACUUUAGGGUUUACUGAGUCCCCAAAAAUUGAUCUGGACAACCCUUUGGCGGAGGAUUUGAUGCGGGCUUAUGAAAACAUGGGUGACACCCUUGCAUUACAAUAUGGUGGUUCUGCAGCACAUAAUAAGAUAUUUUCCGAGAGGAGAGGCCAAUGGAAAGCCGCAACACAGUCUCAGGAAUUUUUCAGAACACUACAACGUUAUUGCAGCAAUGCAUACCUAGAUGCUGAGAAACAACGUGCCAUUAACGUGUUCUUAGGUUACUAUCAGCCACAGCAGGGAAAACCAGCUUUGUGGGAAUUGGACUCUGACCAGCAUUAUGAUCUUGGGAAGCGCUUUCCUGAUCUUAUUGAAGAGAAUUUCAGGACAUCUUUUAAAAGAUCACUAUCAGAUGGCAAUAUACUUGGUCAGAGUGAGUCUGAUAUGAUGAAUAUACAUGACGGAAGCAGCAGGCACUUUCCUCAUUUGAACGAAGGAAGCAGUAAAGGCUUCUCUGAGUCUGCCCCAGAGGUCUCGACUUGCGAAUCAGAUAUAUCUCUUUGCAGGUAUACUCCCUCUGUGUGCACUAGACAACUUCAUGCAAACAUGCAGGAUGAUCAAAUGCUCGAAGAUGAUCAUCUUUGUCAUGAUGAACAUGGGGAUUCAUGCAGCUGCUCUAAUUUUCUGGAUAUGGACUGGAUUUCUUCAUCUGGGAAUUCUUGUGAAGAUGAGUUAUGUGAAAGGUCUGUUGCCAGUCUCUCAUCAGAAAAUGUUACAAGUGAGAUGAAGAUCGACUUUAUCUCGUCUGCAAGUGAGUCAGGAUCAAGCUCAAAGGUAAAAGAACGAUCUGGAACUGGAACUGACGUUAGUCGCGACGAUAUCGUCACUGAAUACUCCGAGCAUUUUGUCGACUGGGUGAGCCAUGGUGGGGUGCUUUUCUGGUGAAGCUGACUCAAAGUUACUAAUCAACAUUGACUUCUUUCAUCCAUUAAAUUACAUCCGAAGGAUGUAGUUUCUGUAGCCAAAAGUGAAAACAUAACAACAUCAUCAUCAUCAUCAGUCAGCUCGACGAGGCAGUAAAUAAACAACGGUAAGAUACACUUGCGGAAAGAGUGAGAGGGAGAGAAAUGAAAUGAAAUAGUUGCUAUUCUGCAGAAAUUUUUGUUGGAGUUUAAUCUUCAGGUCAUCUGUGAGUAGCAGCAAUUACUCUGACUUGUAGAGAGAGAGAGACCUCUUCCCCCAUAAAGAGAGAGGCCAAAAGAAAAGCUAAGCUGGGAAGUAGAAGAAGAAAGAAUAAAGUAUGAAGCGCUAACUUAUAUAUCUGGAGCCACACAAAAUAACUCCAGGUUCAUAUGACAGCAAAUUCUCCUCGAGCCCACCAUUAUUGGGCAAACAUGAUAGUUUAUAAACAGAGAGAAGAUCAAGGCAUAAUCUUUACGGGUUGUUCUGGUGAUUGGUGUUGGAAGUUAUCAUAUACUUUACUAUUAUUAUUAUUAUUUUUUAAUUUCUUUUCAUUACUUCUCUCGGUGAGAUUUUAUACUGCAUGCCUACACUAUAAAUGCAUUUUCUGUUUCAUUUUCA